RNAcentral lists this small nuclear RNA (103 nucleotides) under Balaenoptera musculus (blue whale). Lineage: Eukaryota; Metazoa; Chordata; Mammalia; Artiodactyla; Balaenopteridae. The record is from RNAcentral.
GUGCUCACUUCAGCAGCACAUAUACUAAAAUUGGAACAAUACAGAGAUUAGCAUGGCGCCUGCGCAAGGAUGACACACAAAUUGUGAAGUGUUCCAUAUUUUU